Molecule: ribosomal RNA, 254 nt
Filed under: uncultured bacterium
Lineage: Bacteria
Description: partial 16S ribosomal RNA
Rfam family: Bacterial small subunit ribosomal RNA
Source: RNAcentral
UACAGAGGGUGCGAGCGUUGUCCGGAAUCACUGGGCGUAAAGGGCGCGUAGGUGGUGGCUCAAGCGUGCGGUGAAAGCUCGGAGCUCAACUCCGAGUCGGCCGUGCGAACUGGGCUCACUGGAGCAUAGUAGAGGCAGGUGGAAUUCCGGGUGUAGCGGUGGAAUGCGUAGAGAUCCGGAAGAACACCGGUGGCGAAGGCGGCCUGCUGGGCUAUGGCUGACACUGAGGCGCGACAGCGUGGGGAGCAAACAGG